UUUAUUACAUUUUAAAAAUAUAUUAGUGUAUUUAAUAUAAUUUAUUUGUGUGUUACUUUAUGACGGUGUAAUAAAAUAAAAAAGAAAAAGAAAAACAUUAAGCAGACAAGGAAUGAAUCAGGCCCAUUUUGGCCCAAAUGGCCCAACUAAUCUGGCCGUCUAUUAUCGAUCCGAUGGUUCUGAUCACACUCAUACGAUAUAAAAUCAGCUGACCACCCCCCCAAACCCUAACUCUCCUCUCACACACCUCCACCUCCAGCAGCAGCCCCCAUCCUUCUCUCAUACGCCCACCCAUCUCAUCCAGAUCGGUCCUCUCUUCCUUCUCACAUUUCUUCCUCCUUCCCUGCUCACCC
Molecule: long non-coding RNA, 353 nt
Filed under: Setaria viridis
Lineage: Eukaryota; Viridiplantae; Streptophyta; Magnoliopsida; Poales; Poaceae
Description: long non-coding RNA (SVIR_LNC005670)
Source: RNAcentral